RNAcentral lists this ribosomal RNA (253 nucleotides) under uncultured bacterium. Its description in RNAcentral is "partial 16S ribosomal RNA". It matches the Rfam family "Bacterial small subunit ribosomal RNA", at positions 524 to 776 of the family's 1533-position model. The record is from RNAcentral.
UACGAAUGGAGCAAGCGUUGUUCGGAAUCACUGGGCUUAAAGCGUAUGUAGGCGGAACAGUAAGUCAGAAGUGAAAGCCUGGGGCUCAACCCCAGAACUGCUUUUGAAACUACUGUUCUAGAAUCCUGGAGAGGUUGGGAGAAUUCCGAGUGUAGAGGUGAAAUUCGCAGAUAUUCGGAGGAAUACCAGUGGCGUAGGCGCCCAACUGGACAGGUAUUGACGCUCAGAUACGAAAGCGUGGGGAGCAAACAGG